UCCGGUUUGGCACCGGCAGUCUUUCUAGAGUCCCCGACAUCACUCGCUGGCAACUAGAAACGGGGGUUGCGCUCGUUGCGGGACUUAACCCAACAUCUCACGACACGAGCUGACGACAGCCAUGCAGCACCUGUGCAUGGACUCCGAAGAGGGGUCCUGGUUUCUCAGGACUUUCCCCUGCAUGUCAAGCCCAGGUAAGGUUCUUCGCGUUGCGUCGAAUUAAACCACAUGCUCCACUGCUUGUGCGGGCCCCCGUCAAUUCCUUUGAGUUUCAGCCUUGCGGCCGUACUCCCCAGGCGGGGCACUUAAUGCGUUAGCGCCGGCACUCAGAGGGUCGCUCCCCCAAGCACCUAGUACCCAUCGUUUAUGGCGUGGACUAC
This 380-nucleotide unclassified non-coding RNA is filed under the name uncultured Gemmatimonadaceae bacterium. RNAcentral describes it as "contains 16S-23S intergenic spacer region". Lineage: Bacteria; Pseudomonadati; Gemmatimonadota; Gemmatimonadia; Gemmatimonadales; Gemmatimonadaceae. The record is from RNAcentral.